RNAcentral lists this long non-coding RNA (556 nucleotides) under Rattus norvegicus (Norway rat). RNAcentral describes it as "long non-coding RNA NONRATT005486". Lineage: Eukaryota; Metazoa; Chordata; Mammalia; Rodentia; Muridae. The record is from RNAcentral.
CUGUAUGUUCGUGUCGGGAUUCUCAUGGUUUCCUAUCUUCCUUCUUUCUUUUUAGAUAGAAGAUGGAGAAAUUUUUGCAAGUAUUAACCAGAAGGAUGGUAUGGUCAGUUUCCAUGAUAAUCCUGAAAAGUAUAACAACCCAGCCAUGCUUCAUAACAUUGAUCAAGAGAUGCUAAAAUGCAUAGAGCUGGAUGAGCGACUGAAGGCCAUGGACCAGGAGAUCACAGUGAACCCCCAGUUUGUUCAAAAGAGCAUGGGCUCACAAGAAGAUGACUCAGGAAACAAGCCCUCCAGCUACUCUUGAAACUAACUCCCAUCCUGAGGUAACAGCCUUGCCCUGGCAAGUGUGAAGAGGGAGGGCAGCAGGAAGUACCAUGCUGGUCCACGCCGGUUCCUCCUGGACAUUCAGAAAUUCAGUUUUAACAUCUUCAGUUAUAUUGCUUUCAGAAAACCAUUCUCUGCAAAGAAAGAAAAAAAAAUCUACUUUAGAGUCUGUUGUGGAUUUAUUUAUCCUCAGAUUAUUGUUAUUAUUGCAUUAAAGUUACCUUUUUGUUUU